UAGUUGGUUCCACCAGGGCAUGUAAAUGUGCUAGUUUGAUCAUCCUUAGGAUAACUAUAAGCAUCAGGACAUCUCGUCUUGAAAAACCUUGAUAAAUCAGUUGGUCCACAAUUUCCAGAGUUACAACAAUACUGAUCAGUUUUGUACACGGUGCAAGGGUUAUGGCACCCACCAGAAGUCCAAAUCAAGAUUUUGAUAUUGAUUGAGAGCGAACUCAGCCAACGUGUUAGGUGGGGUUCCAUAGUUUUGGCAUCUGAGGAGACCGUUGCAAUCACCGGUUUGGCACCUGCCACGCCCUGAGCCAUCAAAGUUGCAACCGGUUCGGGGCCAUAUACGUGCUCCUGCUGUGCCAGCUGCGACGUUUAAGGACCAUGUUUGGCCUGGGUUAAGUUGUCGGCCUCCACCAGGAACCGCACCAGCCCAAACGGUGUACCGACAGUUGUUUCGGAUAUUGAAAACGGCUGCAUUG
This 469-nucleotide long non-coding RNA is filed under the name Helianthus annuus (common sunflower). RNAcentral describes it as "sRNA HanXRQr2_Chr17g0784661". The record is from RNAcentral. Lineage: Eukaryota; Viridiplantae; Streptophyta; Magnoliopsida; Asterales; Asteraceae.